GAAACGAAGGGAAAGAAUCAACGAGAGACUAAGGAUUCUGCAGACUCUUGUACCUAAUGGAACAAAGGUCGAUAUAAGCACCAUGUUGGAAGAAGCUGUCCAUUAUGUGAAAUUUUUGCAACUCCAAAUCAAGCUAUUGAGCUCUGAUGAUCUAUGGAUGUACGCACCGAUUGCAUACAAUGGAAUGGACAUUGGCCUCGACUUGAAGCUUAACGCACUCAGAUAAUUUCAAGGACAUGCUUACCAAAUUUUCAUUUGAAAUUAUCAUAUUAUAUAUAUAUAUAUAUAUAACCGAAAGUGUAAUAUUAUUUAUUUUUCUUUUUUUCCCCUCCGAUAUCCGGACGAGUUGGGUUAUAG
This is a long non-coding RNA of Tarenaya hassleriana, 357 nucleotides long. RefSeq lists it as uncharacterized. The record is from RefSeq and is a predicted model, not a curated record. The transcript is spliced from 3 exons. NCBI's taxonomy places the organism in Eukaryota, Viridiplantae, Streptophyta, Magnoliopsida, Brassicales, Cleomaceae.